RNAcentral lists this ribosomal RNA (253 nucleotides) under uncultured bacterium. RNAcentral's name for it is "partial 16S ribosomal RNA". It matches the Rfam family "Bacterial small subunit ribosomal RNA", at positions 524 to 776 of the family's 1533-position model. The record is from RNAcentral.
UACGUAGGGCGCAAGCGUUGUCCGGAAUUAUUGGGCGUAAAGAGCUCGUAGGUGGUUUGUCGCGUCUGCCGUGAAAGCCCGGGGCUUAACUCCGGGUCUGCGGUGGAUACGGGCAGACUAGAGGCAGGUAGGGGAGAACGGAAUUCCCGGUGUAGCGGUGAAAUGCGUAGAUAUCGAGAGGAACACCUGCGGCGAAGGCGGGUUGCUGGGCUGACACUGACGCUGAAGUGCGAAAGCUAGGGGAGCGAACGGG